CGUAAAGCGCAUGCAGGUGGUUUGUUAAGUCAGAUGUGAAAGACCCCGGGCUCAACCUGGGAAUUGCAUUUGAAACUAGGCAAACUAGAGUACUGUAGAGGGGGGUAGGAAUUUCAGGUGUAGCGGUGAAAUGCGUAGAGAUCUGAAGGAAUACCGGUGGCGAAGGCGGCCCCCUCGGACAGAUACUGACACUCAGAUGCGAAAGCGUGGGGAGCAAACAGGAUUAGAUACCCUGGUAG
This 239-nucleotide ribosomal RNA is filed under the name uncultured bacterium. RNAcentral describes it as "partial 16S ribosomal RNA". It matches the Rfam family "Bacterial small subunit ribosomal RNA", at positions 559 to 793 of the family's 1533-position model. The record is from RNAcentral.